UGGUGACUUCUCUGCUAAACUGGGAGCU
RNAcentral lists this non-coding RNA (28 nucleotides) under Mus musculus (house mouse). Lineage: Eukaryota; Metazoa; Chordata; Mammalia; Rodentia; Muridae. The record is from RNAcentral.